RNAcentral lists this ribosomal RNA (253 nucleotides) under uncultured bacterium. RNAcentral's name for it is "partial 16S ribosomal RNA". It matches the Rfam family "Bacterial small subunit ribosomal RNA", at positions 524 to 776 of the family's 1533-position model. The record is from RNAcentral.
UACGUAGGGCGCAAGCGUUGUCCGGAAUUAUUGGGCGUAAAGAGCUCGUAGGCGGCUUGUCACGUCGGGUGUGAAAGCCCGGGGCUUAACCCCGGGUCUGCAUUCGAUACGGGCUGGCUAGAGUGUGGUAGGGGAGAUCGGAAUUCCUGGUGUAGCGGUGAAAUGCGCAGAUAUCAGGAGGAACACCGGUGGCGAAGGCGGUUCUCUGGGCCUGUACUGACGCUGAGGAACGAAAGCGUGGGGAGCGAACAGG